Molecule: ribosomal RNA, 301 nt
Filed under: uncultured bacterium
Lineage: Bacteria
Description: partial 16S ribosomal RNA
Rfam family: Bacterial small subunit ribosomal RNA
Source: RNAcentral
CAGUAGCCGCGGUAAUACGUAGGGUGCAAGCGUUAAUCGGAAUUACUGGGCGUAAAGCGUGCGCAGGCGGUUUGUUAAGACAGAUGUGAAAUCCCCGGGCUCAACCUGGGAACUGCAUUUGUGACUGGCAAGCUAGAGUCUGGCAGAGGGGGGUGGAAUUCCGCGUGUAGCAGUGAAAUGCGUAGAUAUGCGGAGGAACACCGAUGGCGAAGGCAGCCCCCUGGGCCAACACUGACGCUCAUGCACGAAAGCGUGGGGAGCAAACAGGAUUAGAUACCCCAGUAGUCCCUGUCUCUUAUAC